UCCCUGGUAGCUCAGAUGGUAAAGCAUCUGCCUGCAAUGCAGGAGACCUGGGUUCGAUCCCUGGGUUGGGAA
Transfer RNA from Ovis aries (sheep), 72 nucleotides. It matches the Rfam family "tRNA". From Rfam's summary of the family: Transfer RNA (tRNA) molecules are approximately 80 nucleotides in length. Their secondary structure includes four short double-helical elements and three loops (D, anti-codon, and T loops). Lineage: Eukaryota; Metazoa; Chordata; Mammalia; Artiodactyla; Bovidae. The record is from Rfam.